AUUGAACGCUGGCGGCAGGCUUAACACAUGCAAGUCGAGCGGGGAAGGGUAGCUUGCUACCUAACCUAGCGGCGGACGGGUGAGUAAUGCUUAGGAAUCUGCCAUUUAGUGGGGGACAACAUUCCGAAAGGAAUGCUAAUACCGCAUACGUCCUACGGGAGAAAGCAGGGGAUCUUCGGACCUUGCGCUAAUAGAUGAGCCUAAGUCGGAUUAGCUAGUUGGUGGGGUAAAGGCCUACCAAGGCGACGAUCUGUAGCGGGUCUGAGAGGAUGAUCCGCCCGACUGGGCCUGGAACACGGCCCGGACUCCAACGGGAGGCAGCAGUGGGGAAUAUUGGACAAUGGGGGGAACCCUGAUCCAGCCAUGCCGCGUGUGUGAAGAAGGCCUUAUGGUUGUAAAGCACUUUAAGCGAGGAGGAGGCUCUUUUGGUUAAUACCCAAGAUGAGUGGACGUUACUCGCAGAAUAAGCACCGGCUAACUCUGUGCCAGCCGCCGCCGUAA
RNAcentral lists this ribosomal RNA (501 nucleotides) under uncultured bacterium. RNAcentral describes it as "partial 16S ribosomal RNA". It matches the Rfam family "Bacterial small subunit ribosomal RNA", at positions 30 to 523 of the family's 1533-position model. The record is from RNAcentral.